This 566-nucleotide ribosomal RNA is filed under the name uncultured bacterium. Its description in RNAcentral is "partial 16S ribosomal RNA". It matches the Rfam family "Bacterial small subunit ribosomal RNA", at positions 355 to 914 of the family's 1533-position model. The record is from RNAcentral.
UGGGGAAUUUUGGACAAUGGGCGAAAGCCUGAUCCAGCAAUGCCGCGUGUGUGAAGAAGGCCUUCGGGUUGUAAAGCACUUUUGUCCGGAAAGAAAUCCUUGGCUCUAAUACAGUCGGGGGAUGACGGUACCGGAAGAAUAAGCACCGGCUAACUACGUGCCAGCAGCCGCGGUAAUACGUAGGGUGCAAGCGUUAAUCGGAAUUACUGGGCGUAAAGCGUGCGCAGGCGGUUUGCUAAGACCGAUGUGAAAUCCCCGGGCUCAACCUGGGAACUGCAUUGGUGACUGGCAGGCUAGAGUAUGGCAGAGGGGGGUAGAAUUCCACGUGUAGCAGUGAAAUGCGUAGAGAUGUGGAGGAAUACCGAUGGCGAAGGCAGCCCCCUGGGCCAAUACUGACGCUCAUGCACGAAAGCGUGGGGAGCAAACAGGAUUAGAUACCCUGGUAGUCCACGCCCUAAACGAUGUCAACUAGUUGUUGGGGAUUCAUUUCCUUAGUAACGUAGCUAACGCGUGAAGUUGACCGCCUGGGGAGUACGGUCGCAAGAUUAAAACUCGAAGGAAUUGAC